CUUUUGAGUAUGAAUUUUUUUGCAAUUUUGCUUUCUACUUACAGCCAAAACGACUACCUUUCCUUGCAGUUACUAUUCUGAAUAAAAGCUUUAUGACAUUUCUCAUAUUCUCUCCUUCUCUGUCCUAAUUCAAAUUGAUCAAAGAAAAAGGCAAGAACUCUUCUACUUACACUUCUUUUCUAAUGCAGCUGCAUGAAACUUAACUCAUUAACUCCUUUGAGCUUGAUACCAAUGACAAAUAAGCUCGUCUGAAGCUCAUUAUUAAUACCAGUUUCCACCUGGUCUGGACCAUUAAAGAUCCCUGAAACUGCAGAUUUACUCUUAGCAUCUUCUACCCCCAGUAUCCUGAAUGGGUUAAUAACUAUCUUGCUAAAAUACUGUUGCAUUUCCCCCUGCUCACUAGCAACAGAUUCACUAGAGAUGACUGUUGUACAGAGAGAGGAGCAAAACUGAUGAAAACUCUGAUGCUUGUAUUAUGUACUACUGAGUCAGGCGGAAGUGAUUCCAAGAGUAAAACAUCAAGACACCACAACAAAUGCUGUAUGCAUUCUUAAAAUACAAGAAAUCAACUGGGAAUUAGGGGCCAUAAAAUUAGAAGUAGGUACAGCAUCUCAGGGGUCACGUCUCUCCAUGCUGCCUCUGUAGCGUUAUGACUCUGGAUGGAAGGGCUUCACAUCAGUCUGCACUGUCCCAGUACUGAGGUCCUGAAUGUUCUGUAUUCUUCCAAAUGAAUUAGGGAAAAAAAAAGUUUUCUAUAAAUAUAAAACAGAUCUUAAACUUUAAAGCAGAAUGAAAUUAGUGAUUUAAAGAGUCAGUAAUGAAUUGACUUCUAAAUAAUACAACCUUUAAAGUUAUUUUGAAUGACUUAAGGUAAAACUGUGAAGUCAAAUAAACUUUUUAUAAGAU
Molecule: long non-coding RNA, 906 nt
Filed under: Numida meleagris (helmeted guineafowl)
Lineage: Eukaryota; Metazoa; Chordata; Aves; Galliformes; Numididae
Description: lncRNA (ENSNMEG00000013645.1)
Source: RNAcentral